RNAcentral lists this ribosomal RNA (301 nucleotides) under uncultured bacterium. RNAcentral's name for it is "partial 16S ribosomal RNA". It matches the Rfam family "Bacterial small subunit ribosomal RNA", at positions 509 to 807 of the family's 1533-position model. The record is from RNAcentral.
CAGUCGCCGCGGUAAUACGUAGGUGGCAAGCGUUGUCCGGAAUUAUUGGGCGUAAAGCGUGCGUAGGCGGUUCGUUAAGUCUGUUGUGAAAGCCCCGGGCUCAACCUGGGAAUGGCAAUGGAUACUGGCGAGCUAGAGUGUGUCAGAAGAUGGUGGAAUUCCCGGUGUAGCGGUGAAAUGCGUAGAGAUCGGGAGGAACAUCAGUGGCGAAGGCGGCCAUCUGGGACAACACUGACGCUGAGGCACGAAAGCGUGGGGAGCAAACAGGAUUAGAGACCCCCGUAGUCCCUGUCUCUUAUAC